Molecule: long non-coding RNA, 540 nt
Organism: Perca fluviatilis (European perch)
Lineage: Eukaryota; Metazoa; Chordata; Actinopteri; Perciformes; Percidae
Exons: 3
Source: RefSeq, a predicted model, not a curated record
CUUUGGUCCAAGUAUAGAUCAUCUCUGUUAUGGGAUAGGCAUCUGUGGGAAGACAGCAAUGUCUGUCUCCCUGUCCCAGCCUGUUUUCCUGUUUCCCCUUUCCCUUAUGUGUGUGUUGUCUGUGUCUGUCUGCGUGUCACUCAAGAGGAUUUAGGUCUAGGGGCGUGGCCACUCUCACCUGCUCUGCUCCAGCCAGCUGCAGAUCGUUCCAGUAAUCAACCAACAGCCAGCUGCAGCUCACUCCAGUAAUCAACCAACAGUUAUCUACCCGGGCUGUUCACCUCUUCAGCGCCAGUUCGUUGCAACCAUUCCUGUGAUCCCGCCUCUGGACCUGCUGCUUUUCGGUUCUCAUCUGCCUCCUCGCUGCCUGCUCACCUCGCAACUCCGUUCUCAACCAGCCUUUCCACCCAGCUCUCGUCUUCGCUGCCUGGCCACACACCCGCCGUCUGAUCUCCAGCUUCGACUCCACCUGGAGCUGCUCUCCUGGCCAUUCCCUCCUGCACUAUCCACAUUGUGUCCAAUAAAACACUGCUAACUGCU